GACGUGUUUCCCACGAUGCACCGCCUCUGUCUUCUCUCGCGGCUGUCGUUCUUUACCCCUUGGUGCAAUCUUGCACAGAACCCUUUUGACAGAUGGAAGGGCUAUCUGAGCCUUGCGAAAGUGGUUACGGAGAUCAUCGCGGAACGCAAGAAGGUCCCAUUUCCAUCUCAGAGUUUGGACACAAUGGAGUACGACAUGCAGCUAGUCCUCAACGAGGACAACUUUGAAACAGCAUCACAAUGGGUUAAUGGAAGCAGUUCCAGCAGCAAGAGCUCCAAAGGUAGUGCCAAUGGCCAGGCUUCCCAAAACAAGGAGAUUUGCAAUUUCUGCAAACACAACGGGGAAUCCAAGCAGGUCUAUUCGUCCCACCGGCUGAAGGGGAUGGACGGCACCGUGGAGUGCCCCAUCUUGCGCAAAUACACCUGUCCGCUCUGCGGUGCCACGGGCGAAAAGGCCCAUACUUUAAAAUACUGCCCACUGAGCCAAGGGAAGAGGUCGCUGUAUCGCAAGUGCGGACGUAACUCGGCUGGACGCAAGGUGAGGAGAUAAGAAGAUCAGGAGAAGACCGAAGCAUUUAUUCUUAGUUUUAGUUUGACUUUGUAAAAGAACAACAUUUGAUUUCGAGCAUCAUUAACACUCUUUACAUUUCCUCCCACUUUGUUUCAGGUUUGGAGAAUGGAAGCCCAAUUCUCUUAGACUACAUUUAUGUGUCAGUUGCCUAGUGUGAUGAUUCAUGGGCCCUGCAGUCCUAUUCCUGACAGUAUUGUGGCAGAUGAGGAGGAAAAUAUGGAGUUUUCCCCAGAUUUCCGGUCGGAGUCAGAGCCUUGGCAGCUGCCUGAAGUUCUAGUCCAAGAACCAAUUAAACCUGACCUUGGUGGGAACUCUCCCCCUUAUGGGAGAAAACAGGCUUACACGACUGAUAGAGGAUCGAGAGAAAAAUUUAGAAGUACUGCUCGCCUUGCUGCCAAAUAUGCCACUGAUUAGAAGUAUUUCCCCUGAGAAAAUACGGGGAGUCUUGCACCUGCAAGCUGGUUUCCUUCGCUCCCUGUUCUCUAGGGAAAGUGAUUGUUGUUUGGGGAAACGAGACCCAAUAUAGGGAAAUUGCGCGAAGGAUUCCUUGCGGAGUCAAUUCGUCAGCUCCUGGAGAGAGGUCAUGUGUGUGUGGACUUCGAAUCCUGUUCCUUGCCUCCUGAAUCUAGUUCCAAGCCUUGUCCUCGUCUCACGGAUUUACCACAGAUCUUGUUCCAUGCUUCAAGUUGCUUUGCCUUUAGCCACAGCUCCAGCCACGUUCCAAGUAACUUUCAGCCUUGUGUCAAGCUUCAUUGGAUUCAAGACUUUUUCUGUUUUCCCAACGCUUUGCUUGGCAAAGCGUGUGUUGCGGUUAUUGGAUUAUAAUCUUUGGACUCUAAUAUUUCAUAUUGGACAAUAAUCUGCUGGACUAUAUUUGGCCUCAUUUGAAAGGUCUGCUUCUGAACUUUAUUCUACACUUGUUUUUAUUGACUUUAUAUAUUCCUUUAAUAAAGAUAUUAGAUAGAAUCUGGCCUCAGUGUAUGGUUAUUGGUGCCCAGCAGCCUAGAUCCUGACACCUUGUAUCAUGCUUUUUUAUACAUAUAAUCAUGUUUUUUACAUAUGUAAUAUCACGUUCCUUUGACAUCUGUAAUUGCCUUAUAUCAUAUUUUAUAUUGUGUUUUAUAUAUGCAGUUACUUUACAUGUUUCUUUUAUGUAUGGAUGUAUAAUUUUUACAUGUUUAAUUAUAUUAUUUGCAACUAUAAUUGCCUAAUAUCAUGCUUCUUUUAUAUAUGCAAUGACAUCAUGUUUAUUUAACGUAUAUAAGUGCCUUAUAUCAUGUCCGGGUUAUCAUGUGUGUCUCCAGAGGGAUGCAGCCCUAUCCUUUGCAGGGAAAAUAUAGAAAUAUCUUCUAAAUGGCUACUGUCUAGAAUUUUGUUUUGUAAAGAAAGGAAAAGUUUAUAUGCUAUUGGAAAGAAAGAUACUAUUUUAUGUUUAAAUUUUGGAAAGGAAUAGAAUUGGUUAUUAUUACUGUGGUCUAACCUUCAAUUGUUUGCAAGUUGUUCUAAAGUUUGGAUCGUAGAGUUUAAUAAACAGAGUUUAUGGUUUUGGCAUCAAAACUGUUCAUGUUGUGCUUAAAUGGGAUUGAAUUUUCUUUAAUUUGUGGCCCAUAAUAGGCUGGUUAUAAGCCUGAUCUGGAAGGCAGCCAAGGCAAAGACCAUUGAGCUGCUGAACUUGCAGACUGAAAGGUCCCAGGUUCAAAUCCCGGGAGCAGAGUGAGCGCCCGCUGUUAGCUCCAGCUUCUGCCAACCUAGCAGCUUGAAAACAUGCCAAUGUGAGUAGAUGAAUAGGUACCGCUGUGGCGGGAAGGUAAUGGCACUCCAUGUAGUCAUGCCGACCACAUGACCUUGGAGGUGUCUAUGGACAACACUGGCUCUUGGGGUUAGAAAUGGAGGUGAGCACAACCCCCAGAGUCAGACAUGACUGAACUUAACGUCAAGGGAUACCUUUACACACACACACAUGCAGGGACUACACCAAUUUAACAAAGUUUCAGCCACAAAAACAAAGUUUCUAAAGUAGAGCAAUGACUUUCACAGUAAAGACAACCCAAUUUAACAGGAAAUAAGACUUUCAAACCAGGAACAGAUUUCUGCAAUUAUUAAAAAAUGGUUCAUUAUAAAAGCUAUGAAAAUUUGCCAAAAAUCAGAGGAUAAGGGAAACGUUCCACAUUUUGGUGAGCUAUCAGUGUUAAAUGUGUUCUACCACUGUACCAAGUUUGAAGAAGAUCACUCAAAAAAUGAGGGCGGGAGAGCCCCCUAAGCCCCCCCCCCUUCGGGCUGUUUUUGGGCCACCGCGCAUGCGCGUCCGCCAUUAACGAAUUAAUUUCGAAAAUAACGAAUUUUCGUUAAUUUCGAAAAAUUUUGGGGGCCAAAUUCGUUAUUAGCAACAAAAACGAAAAACUGCCCCCUCUAGUUUUGAAACGAGUUUAGAAUCAAAUUUUUCAUGG
Molecule: RNA transcript, 3017 nt
Organism: Anolis carolinensis (green anole)
Lineage: Eukaryota; Metazoa; Chordata; Lepidosauria; Squamata; Anolidae
Gene name: nanos homolog 2-like
Exons: 2
Source: RefSeq, a predicted model, not a curated record